GCACCGUCUGCGUCCUGCUGUCCUUCCCCUUCAUCUUCAGCCCCUGCCUGGGCUGUGGGGCGGCCACGCCCGAGUGGGCUGCCCUCCUCUACUACGGCCCGUUCAUCGUGAUCUUCCAGUUUGGCUGGGCCUCCACACAGAUCUCCCACCUCAGCCUCAUCCCGGAGCUCGUCACCAACGACCAUGAGAAGGUGGAGCUCACGGCACUCAGAACCUGUCCCUGCUGGUGGUGGGUGUCGGCGCCGUGUUCUCACUGCUGUUCCACCUGGGCACCCGGGAGAGGCGCCGGCCGCGUGUGGAGGAGCCAGGCGAGCACACCCCCC
This 323-nucleotide small RNA is filed under the name Pan troglodytes (chimpanzee). RNAcentral describes it as "processed transcript". Lineage: Eukaryota; Metazoa; Chordata; Mammalia; Primates; Hominidae. The record is from RNAcentral.